GAAAAUUAUUUUUUAAUUCAUGUCAAAGAAAAACAGAGAAGGAAGGAAAGAAGGAAGGAAGGAAGGCAGGCAGGCAGGCAGGCCUCUAUGAGAAACAUAGUUCCCUGGCCAGCCUCUAGCUGCUGUUUUUUUUGUGGGGGAGUGGGGAUGGAGUCUCACUCUGUUGCCCAGGUUGAAGUGCAGUGGUACAAUCUCAGCUCACUGCAACCUCUGCCUGCCAGGUUCAAGCGAUUCUCCUGCUUCAGCCUCCUGAGUAGCUGGGGUUACAAGCAUGAACCACCAUGUUUGGCUAAUUUUUUCUUUUUCUUUCUUUCUUUCUUUCUUUCUUUCUUUCUUUCUUUCUUUCUUUUUUUUUUGAGACAGAUUCUUGCUCCGUAGCCCGAGCUAGAGUGCAGUGGUGCAAUCUUGGCUCAUUACAACCUCCGUCUCCCAGGUUCAAGUGAUUCUCCUGCCUCAGCCUCCUGAGUAGCUGGGACUACAGUGGCGAGCCACCAUGCCCAGCUAGUUUUUGUAUUUUUAGUAGAGACGGGGUUUCACUGUGUUGGUCAGGCUGGUCUCGAACUCCUGACCUCAGGUGAUCUGCCUGCAUCGGCCUCCCAAAGUGCUGGGAUUACAGGCAUGAGCCACUGUGCCCGGCCACGCCUGGCUAAUUUUUUGUAUUUUUAGUAGAGAAAGGGUUUCACCAUGUUGGCUAGUCUGGUUUCAAACUCCUGACCUCAAGUGAUUUGCCUGCCUUGGGCUCUCAAAGUGCUAGGAUUACAGGUGUGAGCCAUCAUGCCCAGCCAGCUGCCAUUUUUGGAUCCACCUCAGUUCUCACACUGAGGCCACUUUCUGGUUUACUUCCACUCAAUGACUGCACACAGUAGGGGUACUAAGUGUGAGGUACAUAAUACACAGCCACUGAUUUAGUAAAUGCAUUUUUUCCCCUACUUCUAUCAGGAAAGAGACUAGAAAUAGUUCACAUCCAUGUGGGACGACAAUAUUUACUCAGUUUUGCCCCAAGAAUAAUAUUUGCUCCUUUGAUGAUAAAAUGUGAAUUAUAGGCUGUUAUAGUUUGGAUAUUUGUCCCCACCCACAUCUCAUGUUGAAUUGUAAUCCCCAGUGCUGAAUGUGGGGCCUGCCCAGAGGUGUUUGGAUCAUGGGGGUGGAUCCCUCAUAGCUUGGUACUGUCUUUUCAGUUCUCUCGAGAUCUAGUCAUUUAAAAGUGUGUAGCAUCUGCCCCCUGACCUUGUUCCUGCUUUCACCAUGUGAUGUGCCUGCUUCCCCUUUGCCUUCUGCCACGAUUGGAAGUUUCCUGAGGCCUCCCCAGAAGCAGAUGCUGCUAUGCUUCCUGUACAGCCUGUAGAACCAUGAGCCAAUUAAACCUCUUUUCUUAUAAAUUACCCAGUCUCAGCUAUUUCUGUAUAGCAAUCUAAGAGAAAAUUGGCACCGGGGUGGGGAAUUACUAUAAAGAUACCUGAAAAUGUGGAAGUCAUUUUGGAACUAUGUAACAGGCAGAGGCUGAAAGAGUUUGGAAGGCUCAGAAAAAGACAGGAAGAUGAGGGAAGGUUUAAAACUUCUUAGAGACUGGUUAAAUUGUUGUGACCAAAAUGCUGAUAGUGAUAUGGACAGCGAGAUCCAAGCUGCUGAGUCUCAGAUGGAAAUGAUGAAGAAAGUUGGAGCUUACAUUUAAAAGGGAAGCAGAAUAUAAAAGUUUGGAAAUUUUGUAGUCUGCCCAUGUGGCAAAGAAAGAAAAAGCUUUCUCAAAAGAGGGAUACAAGCAGGCUGUGGAGCAACCACUUGCUAGAGAUAUUUGCGUAAUUAAAAAGGAGUGAGGCCGGGCGCGGUGGUUCACCCCUGUAAUCCCAGCACUUUGGGAGGCCGAGGCUGGCGGAUCAUGAGGUCAGGAGAUAGCGACCAUCCUGGCUAACACGGUGAAACCCCAUCUCUACUAAAAAUACAAAAAAUUAACCAGGUUCAGUGGCGGGUGCCUGUAGUCCCAGCUACUCGGGAGUCUGGGGCAGGAGAAUGGUAUGAACCUGGGAGGCGGAGCUUGCAGUGAGCCGAGAUCGCGCCACUGCACUCCGGCCUGGGCAAAAGAGCGAGACUCCGUCUAAAAAAAAAAGGAGCCAGUGCUAAUGUGUCUGGAAUUGGUGGGUUCUUGGUCACACUGACUUCAAGAAUGAAACUGCGGACCCUUGCGGUGAGUGUUACAGCUCUUAAGGUGGUGUGUCUGGAGUUUGUUCCUUCUGAUGUUCGGAUGUGUUCGGAGUUUCUUCCUUCUGGUGGGUUCGUGGUCUCGCUGGCUCAGGAGUGAAGCUGCAGACCUUUGCGGUGAGUGUUACAGCUCUUAAGGCGGCACAUCUGGAGUUGUUCGUUCCUCCCGGCGGGCUCGUGGUCUCGCUGGCUUCAGGAGUGAAGCUGCAGGCCUUCGUGGUGAGUGUUACAGCUCAUAAAAGCAGCAUGGACCCAAAGAGUGAGCAGUAGCAAGAUUUAUUGCAAAGAGCAAAAGAACAAAGCUUCCACAGUGUGGAAGGGGACCCAAGCGGGUUGCCACUGCUGGCUGGGGCAGCCUGGUUUCAUUCUCUUAUCUGGCCCCACCCACGUCCUGCUGAUUGGUAGAGCCCAGUGGUCUGUUUUGACAGGGCGCUGAUUGGUGCGUUUACAAUCCCUGAGCUGGAUACAAAGGUUCUCCACGUCCCCAUCAGAUUAGAUACAGAGUAUCCACACAAAGGUUCUCCAAGGCCCCACCAGAGCAGAUAGAUACAGAGUGUCCAUUGGUGCACUCACAAACCCUGAGCUAGACACAGGGUGCUGAUUGGUGUGUUUACAAACCUUGAGCUAGAUACAGAGUGCCGAUUGGUGUAUUUACAAUCCCUGAGCUAGACAUAAAGGUUCUCCACGUCCCCAUCAGAUUAGAUACAGAGUAUCCACACAAAGGUUCUCCAAGGCCCCACCAGAGCAGAUAGAUACAGAGUGUCCAUUGGUGCACUCACAAACCCUGAGCUAGACACAGGGUGCUGAUUGGUGUGUUUACAAACCUUGAGCUAGAUACAGAGUGCCGAUUGGUGUAUUUACAAUCCCUGAGCUAGACAUAAAGGUUCUUCACGGCCCCACCAGAGCAGCUAGAUACAGAGUGUCAAUUGGUGCACUCACAAACCCUGAGCUAGACACAGGGUGCUGACUGGUGUGUUUACAAACCUUGAGCUAGAUACAGAGUGCCGAUUGGUGUAUUUAUGUCUAGCUCAGGGAUUGUAAAGGUUCUCCAAAGCCCCACCAGAUUCAGGAGCCCAGCUGGCUUCACCCGGUGAAUCCCGCACCGGGGCUGCAGGUGGAGCUGCCUGCCAGUCCCCUGCGUGCGCCCGCACUCCUCAGCCCUUGGGUGGUCGAUGGGACUGGGUGCCGUGGAGCAGGGGGUGGCCCUCGUCGAGGAGACUCGGGCUGCACAGG
RNAcentral lists this long non-coding RNA (3429 nucleotides) under Homo sapiens (human). RNAcentral's name for it is "HSALNT0366565". The record is from RNAcentral. Lineage: Eukaryota; Metazoa; Chordata; Mammalia; Primates; Hominidae.